RNAcentral lists this long non-coding RNA (473 nucleotides) under Physcomitrium patens. RNAcentral's name for it is "long non-coding RNA (PPAT_LNC003128)". The record is from RNAcentral. Lineage: Eukaryota; Viridiplantae; Streptophyta; Bryopsida; Funariales; Funariaceae.
AUUAAAGAUUAACAAAUAUAAUCAAACAUCAAUCAAAUUCAAUUAAAAUUUCAAAAGAAUUAUACAAGAAAUACAAAGAAUUUUUAGAGAUCCUUUAAAGAAAUCUUAAAGGAAUAACAUAGAAAUUCAAACCUUAGUCAAAUCUUAGUCAAAUCCUUGUCAAAUCCUACUCAACCAUUAAAUAAGCCCUAAACAAAUCUUAGAAAAAUCUUAGUCAAAUCCUAGUCAAAUCCUAAUCAUAUCUUAAAUAAACCUUAAUCAAAUCCUAAUCAAAUAUUAAAUAAAUCCUAGUCAAAUCUUAAAUAAAUCCUAGUCAAAUCCUAAACAAAUCCUAAAUAAGUCCUAAUAAAAUCCUAAUCAAAUCUCAAUCAAAUCCUAAUCAAAUCCUAAAUAAAUCCUAAUCAAAUCCUAAAUAAAUCCUAAUCAAAUCCUAAUAAAUCCUAGUCAAAACCUAGAAUAAUCCUAAAUAAGCC